UGGGGAAUUUUGGACAAUGGGCGCAAGCCUGAUCCAGCAAUGCCGCGUGCAGGAUGAAGGCCUUCGGGUUGUAAACUGCUUUUGUACGGAACGAAAAGCCUCUCUCUAAUACAGGGGGGUGAUGACGGUACCGUAAGAAUAAGCACCGGCUAACUACGUGCCAGCAGCCGCGGUAAUACGUAGGGUGCAAGCGUUAAUCGGAAUUACUGGGCGUAAAGCGUGCGCAGGCGGUUUUGUAAGACAGUGGUGAAAUCCCCGGGCUCAACCUGGGAACUGCCAUUGUGACUGCAAGGCUGGAGUGCGGCAGAGGGGGAUGGAAUUCCGCGUGUAGCAGUGAAAUGCGUAGAUAUGCGGAGGAACACCGAUGGCGAAGGCAAUCCCCUGGGCCUGCACUGACGCUCAUGCACGAAAGCGUGGGGAGCAAACAGGAUUAGAUACCCUGGUAGUCCACGCCCUAAACGAUGUCAACUGGUUGUUGGGGAUUUAUUUCUUCAGUAACGAAGCUAACGCGUGAAGUUGACCGCCUGGGGGA
This 532-nucleotide ribosomal RNA is filed under the name uncultured bacterium. RNAcentral's name for it is "partial 16S ribosomal RNA". It matches the Rfam family "Bacterial small subunit ribosomal RNA", at positions 355 to 880 of the family's 1533-position model. The record is from RNAcentral.